RNAcentral lists this long non-coding RNA (861 nucleotides) under Homo sapiens (human). RNAcentral describes it as "HSALNT0383563". The record is from RNAcentral. Lineage: Eukaryota; Metazoa; Chordata; Mammalia; Primates; Hominidae.
CGCUUCCCGUCUGUGGAAGCUUUGUUCUUUCGCUCUUGACAAUAAAUCUUAAUGCUGCUCUCUCUUUGGGUCCAUGCCAUCUUUAAGAGCUGUGACACUUACAGCCAAGGUCCGGGGCUCCAUUCUUGAAGUCAGCGAGACCACGAAUCCACCGGAAGGAGCAAACUCUGGACAUGGCAUGUGCUUUUGCAGGAAGGACGCUGGACUCUUGCACUAUAAGUUGAAAACAUCGCUUAUAAACAAUACAUCACAGCACACUUGCAGAGAGAGCACUGGUUCAUCAAAAUAAGAUAUGAUCAAGGUACAAAAGAGUUAAAGAAGCUAUUUAUUUUAAUGUUUCCUUGGAGAGCACACUUGUUAUUAUGCCUGCCCCAGCUUUGCCUUCCACCAUGAGUAAAAGCUUCCCAAGUCCUCCCCAGAAGCAGAUGCUGGCGCUAUGCUUCUGGUACAGCCUGAAAAACCUUGAGCCAAUUAAACCUCAGUGAGCUCAAGAUGUCUUUGUUGAAACAGAACCUCCCGAAGUUACAGUAUUGGUUUUGGGGCUCCACACAGAGAACACAUCACGGAAGCUAUAAUUGAGGAAGACAAAGCUGUCAGGACGACACCAAGAGAGUUAGAAAGCCCAAGAGUGGAGCAUUCUUCACCAUGAUUCCACCUGACACUUGGCUGAAAGCAUUUUGCACUAAUUUGCUUUGUGCCCGUUCAGACAAUCUAAAAAGAAAGGAUGGGGGGACAACAAGUGUCUAUUACACAGAAUAAACAGCCUCUGGCAAAUGAAUACAUUUUACACACUUGUGCUUUUGGAGGGAUGGGGUAGUGAUGAGGGGAAGGGGAAUGGAGGAGGAGAAGUCAAGGAUUAGA